GACCUUCGGGAGCUUGCACAGGUGCUGCAUGGCUGUCGUCAGCUCGUGUCGUGAGAUGUUCGGUUAAGUCCGCUAACGAGCGCAACCCUCGCUGUGUGUUAUAUGUGUCACACGGGACUGCCGGUCUUAAGCCGGAGGAAGGUGGGGAUGAUGUCAAGUCAGCAUGGCCUUUAUAUCCUGGGCUACACACACGCUACAAUGGCCAACACAAUAGGUUGCUAAGCCGCGAGGUGGCGCCAAUCCAUAAAGUUGGUCUCAGUUCAGAUUGUAGGCUGCAACCCGCCUGCAUGAAGAUGGAGUUGCUAGUAACCGCAGGUCAGCUAUACUGCGGUGAAUACGUUCCCGGGGCUU
Molecule: ribosomal RNA, 351 nt
Filed under: uncultured Leptolinea sp.
Lineage: Bacteria; Bacillati; Chloroflexota; Anaerolineae; Anaerolineales; Anaerolineaceae
Description: bacterial SSU rRNA
Rfam family: Bacterial small subunit ribosomal RNA
Source: RNAcentral